GUAGGGGGCAAGCGUUAUCCGGAUUCACUGGGCGUAAAGGGAGCGCAGGCGGCACGGCAAGUCCGGUGUGAAAGCCCGGGGCCCAACCCCGGGACUGCACUGGAAACUGCCGGGCUGGAGUGUCGGAGGGGCAGGCGGAAUUCCUGGUGUAGCGGUGAAAUGCGUAGAUAUCAGGAGGAACACCGGUGGCGAAGGCGGCCUGCUGGACGAUGACUGACGCUGAGGCUCGAAAGCGUGGGGAGCAAA
This 246-nucleotide ribosomal RNA is filed under the name uncultured bacterium. RNAcentral describes it as "partial 16S ribosomal RNA". It matches the Rfam family "Bacterial small subunit ribosomal RNA", at positions 527 to 772 of the family's 1533-position model. The record is from RNAcentral.